RNAcentral lists this long non-coding RNA (5353 nucleotides) under Mytilus galloprovincialis (Mediterranean mussel). Lineage: Eukaryota; Metazoa; Mollusca; Bivalvia; Mytilida; Mytilidae. The record is from RNAcentral.
CAGAAUGGUUCUUUAAAUUACCGAUCGUAUGUGAUGGAUAAGUGGUUGAUUAUAUCAUAGAUAAAAGACUUGAGCACAAUUAUAAAUCAUUAGAAAAAUAAUAAAGAAAAGGGAAUUGAGCAUAAUGUCAGGCAAGAAUUAUUUUUGUAAGUCACCAUGUUCCAAUUGAAAAAUCCCUAGCAUACACCAUAUAUCAGACACUGUUUUUGAGGUACUCACCUUUUUCGCACCACUUUAAAGCAAAAUGUCUCAUAUAUGUUGUAUGGAUUUAUUUUACAGUUUUGGGUGUUUAAAGUUAGGUAGUGAUGAACGGUUUUCGAUGGUUGCUGUUAAAUACAGUAUAUUUUCAUGACACUGGGGAACAUAUAUAACUUGACAACACCAGUCUAAGGCAUGGACUUAAAGCCCUCGCGAAAUACUGUCGAUUUACACUUGGGUAAACAUAUGUUUCAUAUUAUGACUUGACACCGAGAUUUAACAUACACUACAAUAUCAAUAUAAUGGAAUAAUUUGAUGCGACUGCCAUACAAGUGAGACCAGGUUUUAUUCACCAUUUUCUACAUAAUAAAAUGCCUGUACCAAGUUAGGAAUAUGACAGAUGUUAUCAAUUCGUUUUGUGUGUUUGAGCUUUUGAUUUUGCCAUUUAAUUUACAGACUUUCCGUUUAGAAAUGUCAUCGGAGUUCAGUGUUUUUGUGAUUUUACUUUUAAAAAUGGAAAAAAUGCUGAUUUUUUCGAUUUUGUUCUUUUACUUAAGUUUGCCUCAACCAAAUGUUAUUGAAUUUAAUGAACAAUGAUUAUAUUACCACUAAGCACAGAUUAAUUUUAAAUUUGGUGACAUCACUUAUAUAUACCGUUCCAGACGUAUACCCUCUAUAAACGGAAAAAUUGCUGAAUUUCAGUAACGUCACUUUUACCGUUUUAUUUGGGCAUAUAAUCUACGUCAACAAUAUGCGCACAUACUAAAUAUCUUACAUGGAUAAUGAUAAUGUUGCUUUAGAUAAAUUUAGUUAAUGAUAAAAUUAAUAAAUUUCAUAAAGUAGGUUUGAAGAAUUAACAUAAGGAUUCGGACGGAUGCUUGACAAUUUCAAAAUUAUACAAUAACCUUGGAAGUCCAAGGAUACAGGGGAUCAGUUUGUUUAUAAAACCAUCAGAUAUAAGAGUAUAUAUUAUUUAUCUGGUAAUAGUACUGACACAAAUAUACCACAAUGAUCAACCAGAUUGUAGUGGAGUCCGUAAAACUUUACGGCUAUAUAUAGUGCAUUUUUAUAGAUAUAUUAUAACGAAAAGAUCUUAAUAGAUUAGAAGUAUUGUUUUGAAAACUGUUUACAGGAUUUUUGUUGUGCACGUUAACAUUUAUAUCAUACAUUUAUUUUUAUCCUUGAAUUGUAACGUUUUUCAGGGAGACCACCAGGUGUUUGCGACCAGAUAUUUGAAACCGAACAAAUUGAUAUGCAACAUUUCAUCCAUUCCUGUGAAUUCCUCUAUGACAGUUUGGGUAAAUAAAAGAUAUAGCCUUUGAUAAGCAUCUGCACAAUAGAAACACGUUAAGAUAGGACUAUUGUUGGUUUCUGUUAACUAUACAGUUGUACUGAUGAAUGUUUAGGUUGAUAUUGUGAUAUUGAGUAUACAUUAGCGAGACAGUAAUUCAACGACAGAUAACUAACAAAAAAAAACAACACCUAACUGCAAAUUAAAACACUCAACUAAUGUAUUGAUUUCUUAAUAAAUAUGUUUUUAGUAAUUCAAAUCGUUCUGUGCUUAAAAUGAUGUGAAUAAUAAUCCUAUUAAAGCUAUCAAAUCUACCAUUAGCACAAAAUUCUUCAAAUGAUAAAAAUAGAAUAUUCAUUUAUAAUUUAAUAAAAGAUGUCCUUUAAUUACAGGCUUAAUAUUUCUUUCAAUUUAAUGUCAUUUACAUAGUUUUACUGUGUGUUACCUUAAUUUGACUGCGGUGGUAUAAAUUAAUUGUAUGACGUUGUUGUCGUCGUAGUCGUCGUCGUAGUCGUCGUCGUCGUCGUCGCCCAAAGACAUUUAGUUUUCAGACAAUAACUUGUGUUCAAGUGUAUGGAUCUCUAAAUGAAUGUACCACACAGUGCCUUAUCACUAAAGUGGGGUUGAUGUUAAUUUGGAGGGGGUAUUGUUUUAACUGUUCAGAAAGGGCACAAAGAGAGACCGAAAAAAAAUCAGGAAUCAGGGAUAGAACGGGUUAAAAAAAAGGAUUUUCUGGUUUCCGGACAAUUCCUGCGUAUAAAUCUAUCGAUCUCUACCAAAACUGUAUCACAAUGUUCGAUACUAAACAUGGAAGGUUGUGAUUGAUUUUGGGGGUAGUGGCCUUCACUGUUUUGGAAAACAAAUCUAAGACAUUGCAUCAAUUGCUCAUUUCUUGAACAAAUUUGUUGUUUGAUAUGCUGAAUUUAAAUUUUUUAGGUUUGUAAUUAUAUUUUGAAUAUAGGACCAUUUUAGUUCUAGUUUCAAAUAUUUAAGUUUGUACCCCACAUUCCUUCUGUGUCAAGUAUUUAAUCACAACCGAACCCAAAGCUUCACCAAGCUUCAUGUUAUUUCCAUACUUGCUGCAACUGUUUGGAGUUCAACAUCUGUGGUUUAUCAAGCUUGCAAAACAUUUAAUUCGAAUUUUUCUUUUGCAAUUCAUUAAAUCCUAUAAUUUGUAACGUGUAAGAAAAUUGUCAUUUUUAUGGGAAAUUUAUUUUUGAAUGUUUGAUUUUUAUCCCCAUAACUUUUUAAUGUAUUGCGUAUUCGCCGUUACUGCAACAAUUUCAUGAUAUAUUUAUUCAAUGACGGCAAAUCUUAAUACUUUUAUCAAACAUCAAGAAUUCUGUCUUAUUAUAUCAUUGUGAACAUCGCUUUUACUAAAUCGGUUUGCAAAUUAUUCGUGUUUGAUUUAGACCAAAUUUAGUAUAUCUUGGUAGGUUUAAAAUUUUCAAUAAACUAAUUAAGGUGGUACCUAACACUUUAACUAAAAUUAAUUUGGCUCGUGUUAUUUUCUUAAAAUUUUUACAAAGUAUUUACUUUAACCCUUUUACAAAAAUAUAAAAAAUUCAAAAAAUUUGAACCAACCGUUUUAUCAGAAAAAUUACACAGGUUUUUUAGCAGUUUGACAAACACUUAUUUUGAACAUUGAGAAGCUUAAUAUUCCCUUAUGAACACAACGUCAUUAAAACGUUCUGCUGAUUUUACAGAGUUAUCUCCAUGUAGUGUUAGGUACCACCUUAAGUUAAACGUCCAUUGAUAAUUCACCGAAUAAAGGAGGAUUAGGACUAUACGUCAAUGACACAGCAGAAUAUUUAGUUCUAUAGAAAGUUGGUUUAAACAUUUGUCAUUAUUCUGAAUUCUAUUAUCAUCCUAUAAUAUACAUUAAUCUUCCAGUCAUCGGAAACGUAUACAUAUUCCAUUAUGAUUUCAUUGUUUUUUUUAUUUGACCUGUUCGUUGUACUGUUUUUCUUUCGAAACCCCUUUCCGAUCAUUGGCAAACUUGUGUUCUGUGUCUCUUAUUACGAUUUAGACACUUAGUUCGCAAAGCAAAAACGAGAUUGUUUUGUUAGUAUCUUUUGAAUCUAAUUUUGAUUUCCUCAACUAACAAUAAUUGAUAUUUGAACUAAUUAAUAUCUAUAACAUGUCCACAAAUAUGUAUCUUUCAUAAUCAGCGAGUAUGUUAUUUUCUUGGCUAUGUGGCGUUUACUGUCAUAUAUGGUAGCUAAAUUACUGAGGUCUUAAUUCUAUGUUUACCUUUUAUACCCACAACUUUUGAUAUAAUUACUGAACAUCAGUGAACUAACUUUUUGUUCAUUGACAAGUUCCAAAACCUAAAAUUUAGAAAAACAGCUUCUCUUGUGAAGUAUAUCAACCACACUAAAAUACUAAUAUUCGCUUGCUGAAGAAUUUUACAAUCUUAUAUCUUCCAUCAAAUUUAGAAUUUGAAAAAAUAUUCAUUUUCCAAAAGGUUCAGACAUCAUGUAAAGUAAACAUCAAAGGUGAACUACACAACUCAAUUGAAGGACACCAAAUGGUUCUAUGUCGAUAUAUACUCAUUAGCUUCAACAAAAGUGUCAUAUGCCCACUAUAAGAAGAAACUUUAGAUAAAGCAAUUAAAACUAAACGUAGAAACACAAUGAAGGCUGUGACUUCCCAAAUCAUUAAAUACUUUUUCCAAAUUCAUGAAAAAGUGUUCGUCGGACGAACAAGUAUUUGGUUAGGCAUCGAAUGCACUUGUGAGACAUCAAAAGAUAUCAGUUAUGAAGAUUGUCUGUAUUCCUCUUCAAAGCCCAAAAUAAUAAUUGAAAGAUAUCCAUCACUCUUAAAAGAAACUUUGUAGAUGAGAUCGAUGUUCCUCGGUUUCUCGAUAAGGAUCAUAGAAACGAACUCUAAAGAAGCAAGAUUUGUUGCAAAUCGGAUUUUUUUAAAUUCUAGGACUCAAUGUGUGAUCUGAAAACCGAACCAAAGAAUAUUAUUGUCAGAACCGGUACACAUAUUCAAUCGAGGGGAAUCAAGAUGUAUAAUCAGCUAUGCAUCUAUGGAAUGGAGUUUCGAGAAGGAGAUUCGGGGACUUGUGUUUAUGUUCAUACUCCGGGUUACGAAAGACUAACUGGUUGUAUCGGGAUGUUAAUAGGAAAGCCAACGUGCGAAAACUAUGUGUUAACACCGAUGAAAGAAAUACUGAAAAUAUUUGAGUUGUAAAAUAAAUUUUCGGAUUCUUAUCUUUAAUUUUUGCUUAUAUGCUUGAUCUAUAUGCUAUUGUGUGCCUUUUUUACAUUUUUGUUUGUUUGUGUAUGUUUGUCAUUUUUAAUUAUUAUGUCUGUUUGUUUGUAUCACGCAUCGUUGUCAUAUAAUGGAAUUUGAAGAAACUGUCAUACAAGUGAGAGGUUUAUUUAGCUAUAAAACCAGGUUUAAUCCACCAAGACUAUCCGUUAUGGAUUUUCCUCGAAGUUCAGUAUUUUUGUAAAUUUACUUUUUUAUGUAAUACUCAAAUGUAAUAAUUAUGCGAAAGAAUUUCCAUGACGCGUUUGUUUAAAGUUUCAAAAUAACGUAUGUAUACUUCUACUAAAGUGAUUAGAGAAGUAUGGGUUCAAGUUUGUGCAAAUUGACCAUAAAUAUUUAGUCUCGAAGCUAUGAUGUAAAUAUUGAGAUUGACAUUAUCUAACUGUAGCAUGACAUCGUAACUUUAUUAAACUAUCUUUAGAAUUAAUGUUUUUAUUUUUAUCAUAAAAAAAUGUGAGAAAAAUUAAUAUGAGACAAUAAAAACAACAAGUAGACUAAAUAGAAAACAAAGGACUGAAAAUAGGACACGAAGGAGCAAAAUGAACUUACAUAAAUCGUGGUGAAUAUAGGUACUGCAAAAAA